This 465-nucleotide ribosomal RNA is filed under the name Vreelandella stevensii. RNAcentral describes it as "partial 16S ribosomal RNA". It matches the Rfam family "Bacterial small subunit ribosomal RNA", at positions 338 to 795 of the family's 1533-position model. The record is from RNAcentral. Lineage: Bacteria; Pseudomonadati; Pseudomonadota; Gammaproteobacteria; Oceanospirillales; Halomonadaceae.
CCUACGGGCGGCAGCAGUGGGGAAUAUUGGACAAUGGGGGCAACCCUGAUCCAGCCAUGCCGCGUGUGUGAAGAAGGCCCUCGGGUUGUAAAGCACUUUCAGUGAGGAAGAACGCCUGGUGGUUAAUACCCAUCAGGAAAGACAUCACUCACAGAAGAAGCACCGGCUAACUCCGUGCCAGCAGCCGCGGUAAUACGGAGGGUACGAGCGUUAAUCGGAAUUACUGGGCGUAAAGCGCGCGUAGGUGGCUUGAUAAGCCGGUUGUGAAAGCCCCGGGCUCAACCUGGGAACGGCAUCCGGAACUGUCAAGCUAGAGUGCAGGAGAGGAAGGUAGAAUUCCCGGUGUAGCGGUGAAAUGCGUAGAGAUCGGGAGGAAUACCAGUGGCGAAGGCGGCCUUCUGGACUGACACUGACACUGAGGUGCGAAAGCGUGGGUAGCAAACAGGAUUAGAUACCCCAGUAGUC